RNAcentral lists this long non-coding RNA (1254 nucleotides) under Homo sapiens (human). RNAcentral describes it as "long intergenic non-protein coding RNA 1102". Lineage: Eukaryota; Metazoa; Chordata; Mammalia; Primates; Hominidae. The record is from RNAcentral.
GACUGCUUUGUCUCAGCCGACAGAACCAGCAAGCCAGAAAGGGAAUGAAGACAUUUGGAGAAGAAGCGUUUACUGAAAGGAGAUUCCUGGGCUGGAGGAAAACCAUGAUCUACAGUUCAUGUUGACAGAUAUUGUAUUUUUGGUCCUAGAUCUGACUUUUGAAAUGACUUAUCACAAAUUCAAAUUUAGCAAUCAUGAGUGAAGUACCCACGAUGUGCUAAGCAUCUACCUCUGCAGAUAGAAGAACACUUACUGUUCCUGAGCAUGGGAGGGAAUAGAAGUUCCUGGGUCCUGGCCUCACCUCAUCAGGCACUGCCAAAUUUGACACCUCCUUCCUGUUCACGGCAGUCCUUUGCGAUAGGGUAUUAGAUGCCACCAAGUAGCUGCAUAACUCACCCAUUUGGUCAGAGCCUGGGUCUAAGCCAGGUCUGACAGACUCCAAAGCAAGCCCUGUUUACAGCAUGACUGGGAUCCAGUGGACGAGGGAACUGAGCUGUCAAAACUAAGUGACUUGAUUGAGGCCAUGCAGCUGGCGAGGGGAGGACCAGGAUCUGAACCCAACUGGGUCUCCCAAGCCUGGGCCACUGAACCAUUUCACCUCUUGGAAAAACUUAAUGGUCAGAGUGGCCCACCCAGUCCAUGGACAGCAUGGAGUGGUAUGGUGGAAGAGGAGGGAAGAAAACCUGUGUAUUGAGCCUGCGUUCUUUGGAAGGAAGACCUUUCAGAUGACCUGACCAGUCCUCCUCUUCAGAACCCGGAUGCUGGCGAAGCAGACUACUCCCAACGCAGGCCACCUGUCUUGAAGAUGUGUAUCUAUAGUCAGAGGGAGGAGCCAUGUGCAAGCGUUUGGCUGGAUCACUACAAAUCUAUCAUGACUCUGGGAAAUCAACCGCUGUAUGAGAUCCCGGCGAUUGAUGAGGGAACUCACUUUCAUUUAAAAGGGACAGCAAGCAUAAUUCUCAAUGCACACAUAGUCUCAAUGGAGUGGAUUUUCAUGGACUGACUCAAGGUAUACUGCUCUAAAUCCUACUGUAAGGCUUCCUCAUCAAGUUACCUACCUUCUAAUUGAGUCUCCUCAUCGGCUGAAAUGUUUACUCACAUGGAGUUAAUGACAGUGUCUGCAUUAGAGGAUUUAGUCAAGAUCAAAUUAGAUAUUGCAAUGGAGUGCUGAGGACAACAGCUGGCAUGCUUAAAAUGCUUGCUAAAUGUGUACAAGUGCACAAGUUCUGUUUUAUUAAUAAAAACCAACACCUA